AACGAACGCUGGCGGCGUGCUUAACACAUGCAAGUCGAACGCGAAAGGGACUUCGGUCCUGAGUAAAGUGGCGCACGGGUGAGUAACGCGUAGAUAACCUGCCUUCAUGUCUGGAAUAAUACGCCGAAAGGGGUACUAAUACCGGAUAUUCUUGCUUUUCAUAAGUUAUGCAAGCAAAGGUGGCCUCUGCAUAUGCUACUGCAUGAAGAGGGGUCUGCGUACCAUUAGCUAGUAGGUGGGGUAAUGGCCUACCUAGGCGACGAUGGUUAGCGGGUCUGAGAGGAUGAUCCGCCACACUGGCACUGGAACACGGGCCAGACUCCUACGGGAGGCAGCAGUGAGGAAUAUUGCGCAAUGGGGGAAACCCUGACGCAGCGACGCCGCGUGAGUGAGGAAAAGGCCUUCGGGUCGUAAAGCUCUGUCAAGAGGAAAGAAGUGUACAAUGGCUAAUACCUGUUGUAUUUGACGGUACCUCUAAAGGAAGCACCGGCUAACUCCGUGCCAGCAGCAGC
RNAcentral lists this ribosomal RNA (512 nucleotides) under uncultured bacterium. Its description in RNAcentral is "bacterial SSU rRNA". It matches the Rfam family "Bacterial small subunit ribosomal RNA", at positions 29 to 518 of the family's 1533-position model. The record is from RNAcentral.